RNAcentral lists this ribosomal RNA (411 nucleotides) under uncultured microorganism. RNAcentral describes it as "bacterial SSU rRNA". It matches the Rfam family "Bacterial small subunit ribosomal RNA", at positions 9 to 417 of the family's 1533-position model. The record is from RNAcentral.
GAGUUUGAUCCUGGCUCAGAUUGAACGCUGGCGGCAUGCCUUACACAUGCAAGUCGAACGGCAGCAUGAUCUAGCUUGCUAGAUUGAUGGCGAGUGGCGAACGGGUGAGUAAUACAUCGGAACGUGCCCUGUAGUGGGGAUAACUAGUCGAAAGAUUAGCUAAUACCGCAUACGACCUGAGGGUGAAAGUGGGGGACCGCAAGGCCUCAUGCUAUAGGAGCGGCCGAUGUCUGAUUAGCUAGUUGGUGGGGUAAAGGCCCACCAAGGCGACGAUCAGUAGCUGGUCUGAGAGGACGAUCAGCCACACUGGGACUGAGACACGGCCCAGACUCCUACGGGAGGCAGCAGUGGGGAAUUUUGGACAAUGGGCGAAAGCCUGGUCCAGCAAUGCCGCGUGUGUGAAGAAGGCCU